UCUGUUUUCAAUUUUCAUCAUCCUUUUCUGAUUUAUGCUUUCUCUGAAUUUUCGGUCUCCUGUUCUUCAUGCAUUGCCAUAAGCAUAUCGUAGCUGCAUUAUGUUGCGGGUGAAAGAAACGAGAACAUUGCCACUAGGGUUCUUUUUUCUAUGCAUUUCGUGAUGCCAUUGGUAAUGUGAAGCAGAACGGUGGCAGAGAAGAAGCUAUCCAUGUAGUGAAAGAACAAACACUGCAUCACCUCUCUCGCCUCCUCAAGGAUUUCAAGUUACUGAAUAGAAUUGGGGAUGGUCAAGCCUUAUUACACGUAUAUUGUCAAUUUAGUAGAGUCAGCAUAAUGAAUUUACUCUGGUGAUUCUCAGGUGGAAGUGGAACCUGCUACUCUUGUGCUAUUAGGCCAACAAUGCAAAAAGUUUUUUUGGCCUCUGCUAUCGCUACAUAAUGAAAUUGGAAUGGAUCCACUAGUCAUUAGAGUAAGGGCAGUGCCUGGGCUUGUUGCUGCGGAUAACUUUGCUCUUUGGUCAGUGUUAAUUCAAAAUUUGGCAAAAAUUGGAUAUGACAUGGCUUCCUAUGAUUGGAAAUUUUCUUUCGAAAAUACUCAGGUUCAAUUAUUAUUUCAAGAGUAAACCUACAAUUAUAACCUCUGGAGAGGUAUACUUUCAACUAGUAUAAUUUAAGUUGGACAAUGCAUUUUAGAGACCAGUCUGUAUGUAGAUGGAGGAGUAAAAUUGAGCUUUUGUUUUUGCUUCUUGGUUUAAGGUACAAAGAUUGAUGGACGCUAGCUAUCUAGUUAGACUUGUUGGAGACCCAAUACUGAAGGCAUCCUGACUCUUGAGGUUGGUGCAGUUUCUUUUUUUCUUUUUUUCUUUUUUUACUUUAGUCAUGAUUUCUCAUUAUUCAUUUUCUGUGCAUAUUAAAUAAAAAUGUUUUGCUCCUUUAAAAAGUCAUUCAUAAAAAUUUAUUUCCACAUUGGAAUUUGGAAAGAAUGAUGGAUAUCAAUGUGGCUAGAAUCAUUUUUGAGAUAAGCAUAAUGGUUGAUCUUACGAGCAUGGUAGAACAGUGGGAUUAUAUUCAUGACUCUUUUGAAUAUGUUAAAAGAAAUGCUAUACUAAGAAGCAUGGUAUGCAUGUCAUUCAUAACACGGUCUAUGUAGAACUUUGUUGCAAUUACAUAGACGAUUUCAAGUCCGGAAAAAAAAGGAGGAUGAAUGAUGGACCCAAUUUAUGAUCUUAAAAAUUGAGAUAUGACAUUUUUGGACCCAAUUUGAAAUAAAGGAGGAUGGUAUACGUUGCUUUUAUGAUAUGAAAAGAAUGUGGCAUGAUGUAUGUAAUCCGAUUGAUCUAAAAAAAUAGUUUUUAUGAUCUCAAAGAUUGAGAUAUGACAUAUUUGGACCCAAUUUGAA
Molecule: long non-coding RNA, 1400 nt
Organism: Arachis duranensis
Lineage: Eukaryota; Viridiplantae; Streptophyta; Magnoliopsida; Fabales; Fabaceae
Exons: 4
Source: RefSeq, a predicted model, not a curated record